UGAUAAACUUUACUGUGGACCCUCGACU
RNAcentral lists this small RNA (28 nucleotides) under Bombyx mori (domestic silkworm). RNAcentral describes it as "ovarian small RNA-8252". The record is from RNAcentral. Lineage: Eukaryota; Metazoa; Arthropoda; Insecta; Lepidoptera; Bombycidae.